RNAcentral lists this ribosomal RNA (497 nucleotides) under uncultured bacterium. Its description in RNAcentral is "partial 16S ribosomal RNA". It matches the Rfam family "Bacterial small subunit ribosomal RNA", at positions 28 to 507 of the family's 1533-position model. The record is from RNAcentral.
GACGAACGCUGGCGGCGUGCCUAAUACAUGCAAGUUGAGCGAUGAAGAUUGGUGCUUGCACCAAUUUGAAGAGCAGCGAACGGGUGAGUAACGCGUGGGGAAUCUGCCUUUGAGCGGGGGACAACAUUUGGAAACGAAUGCUAAUACCGCAUAACAACUUUAAACAUAAGUUUUAAGUUUGAAAGAUGCAAUUGCAUCACUCAAAGAUGAUCCCGCGUUGUAUUAGCUAGUUGGUUAGGUAAAGGCUCACCAAGGCGAUGAUACAUAGCCGACCUGAGAGGGUGAUCGGCCACAUUGGGACUGGGACACGGCCCAAACUCCUACGGGAGGCAGCAGUAGGGAAUCUUCGGCAAUGGACGAAAGUCUGACCGAGCAACGCCGCGUGAGUGAAGAAGGUUUUCGGAUCGUAAAAAUCUGUUGGUAGAGAAGAACGUUGGUGAGAGUGGAAAGCUCAUCAAGUGACGGUAACUACCCAGAAAGGGACGGCUAACUACGUG